This is a long non-coding RNA of Plectropomus leopardus (leopard coralgrouper), 1015 nucleotides long. RefSeq lists it as uncharacterized. The record is from RefSeq and is a predicted model, not a curated record. NCBI's taxonomy places the organism in Eukaryota, Metazoa, Chordata, Actinopteri, Perciformes, Serranidae.
GAAAGAAAUCGUCAGAUUCAUACAUGACAUACACAGUGACUACAGUUCAUGGACAUUUUAAGGCACAGCUUUCUGGGCGUCCCUGAAUGAGUUUAAGCAGUAAGUCACAAGAAUGUCACAGAACUGGUUUGUUCUCUUCCUGUUUGAUGGUCACAUGUUAAAAAGUCCCUGACACUUUGACAUUUCAUUUUAGUUAGCUUAGGUGUAGAGACAGUGGUGAUCAAUCAGAUCCUGUAAAUGAUGAUAAAGGUAAGAACCGGUUCACUCUCUGUGGACACAGGACGGAGGACGCAACCGAGCAACACUACAUCUUGUCCUGAAGAGAAGACAUAAGGUUAUCUGGCUAUGGGUGGUUGCUCCUCCAAAAAAAAAUUCUUCUGGCAGAAGAAAAAGAGGUCGCCUCUGCAGCAGUCCUGGCGUCAGCUGAAGGGGGCGCUACCCGGUAAGAAACGCAAGAAGAAGAUCCCUCUGCCACUGGAUAAACUGAACCUGGAUAACCUGAAACGGAGGAAGCGUUCCCAGAGGAAAUUCUCACUGUCGACAGACAAGAAAGACUUUGUGUUGUCGAAAAGAUUCUCUCUUGGCAACACGAGGAAGGAGUCGACUGUUUUACCAGGAAAGAAGGACGGAGGCAGGCUGGGAGAGCAGAUUAAGAAGAGGCUUUCUCUCCCUCUGUGAAAGGAAGGAAACGAAACAAGUGGACUGAAAAAUUGAGCAAAAGUGUCUUAAAGAGGCUGAAUGAGAUCCAAAGUCAAUUUAGAGAGAAAGAGCCUUAAAUUUGGCAGGAAGACAAAACACGAGCUGCCAGUAAACAGGCCACAGGAAGAUCAGAGAGAUACAAGUAUUCAAAGCUUUUAAUGACGUCACUGUCAGUUACCGAGGGCAGAUUAUCAUGGCUGAGAAUGACACACAGCGUUAUCGUCAGGAAAGCUUUCACCCACAAACAGCUUGCUAUCAGUUUUUUUUUCGAUAUUUACUAUCAGCUGUAAUAAACUUACCCCAAAGUUUUACAUCA